This 17-nucleotide microRNA is filed under the name Macrophomina phaseolina MS6. RNAcentral's name for it is "miR-4486". The record is from RNAcentral. Lineage: Eukaryota; Fungi; Ascomycota; Dothideomycetes; Botryosphaeriales; Botryosphaeriaceae.
GCUGGUCGGGGCUGGCA